This 376-nucleotide ribosomal RNA is filed under the name Halalaimus sp. 77L30C15. RNAcentral describes it as "bacterial SSU rRNA". It matches the Rfam family "Eukaryotic small subunit ribosomal RNA", at positions 40 to 424 of the family's 1831-position model. Lineage: Eukaryota; Metazoa; Nematoda; Enoplea; Enoplida; Oxystominidae. The record is from RNAcentral.
AAGAUUAAGCCAUGCAUGUCUCAGCACAAGCCGUACAAUGGUGAAGCCGCGAAUAGCUCAUUAUAACAGUCGUAGUUUAUUAGAAAGUCUAUCUGGAUAACUGUGGUAAUUCCAGAGCUAAUACUUGCGAAAAUCUCCGACUUCGGAAGGAGUGCAUUUAUUAGAACAAGGCCGAUCAGACUUUGUCUGUCUCAGGUUGACUCUGAAUAACUUUGCUAAUCGCACAGUCUUUGCACUGGCGAUGUAUCUUUCAAAUGUCUGCCUUAUCAACUGUUGAUGGUAGAUUAUGCGCCUACCAUGGUUAUAACGGGUAACGGAGAAUCAGGGUUUGAUUCCGGAGAGGGAGCCUGAGAAACAGCUACCACAUCCAAGGAAG